RNAcentral lists this long non-coding RNA (417 nucleotides) under Olea europaea subsp. europaea. The record is from RNAcentral. Lineage: Eukaryota; Viridiplantae; Streptophyta; Magnoliopsida; Lamiales; Oleaceae.
AUCAACGCACGGUCAGAUGCACACGGUCGGGACCAGCGGGGGUGGUGGCGGCCGUAUACACUCCGAUGGUCAAGUCAGGUUCAGGUGGUCAGAACAGUACCCAGAGGUUGUGUCAAAAACACUAAGGGGGAGGAGAAAAUAUAUAAAUUUGCUAUGGAGUGCUAUGUAGUAAGAGUUUCAUUACCUUUACCUCUUGUCAAACCUUGGGUAUUUAUAGGUGGGAUGAACCGUUGGAUGUGGGACACGUGUAUACAUCUGACGGUAUGAGGCGUCCGCUCAUAGGCGUCAAUCAGCCGCGUCUGUAGAGUGGGCGGGCAAUUUGUUUCUCCCGAGUUGAGUUGACAUAAAGUUGAUAAGUCACAUCAACUAGCCUCAUGGAGACGUCAAAUCAAUUUAAACCUUAGGUGCAGAGAGGAU